GUGGCUGGGAUGAAAGCUGGCUUAGGGUGGCUUCCAAAGAGAAUAUGAAGAGAGGAAGGCUAGAUAGUGUGUAUAAAUAACUCCUCUGAGCAAUUUUGUCAUAAACGGAAGUGGGAAGACAUGGAGCAAUAUCUGAAGAAGAUAUGGGAAUAUGAGCUGCUGUGCUUUCUAUCAUUCCUGGAAGAAAUCUCUAAUUAGAGAAGACCCUAGGGCCAAGAAAGAUUUUUGUUGUGCUGGAAAACACUAAACGCUCUUGAUAAGAGCCUUUUUUCUCGCUCUUUCCAAGCAAUGAGAUUGCCCAUUUCUCUCAUACUUUUGUAAACUAGUUGGGGAUCAUGGAGUUUUGAAUAAAGAGAGAUUGAGCUAAGAGCACUCUACUGUUGAGGAUUUCAAACAGAGUGAAUUGGAGCAUAUUUUAAGCUCCUGUAAUUGCCGAGGAAUCUUAAGAAAUUGAGUAAACUUCUGUGAGACAAUCAACAUUAGCAGAAGAGAGUGCUUAGUUUGUCUUACAUGUGCCGCUCUCUGAAAAUCAGUAAGGAGCCAAGACAAUAGGGCCUGAUAUUAAUAAAAUGAGGGUUUUGAAACUGGGAGUUAUUGAGCACUUCUCUUCUACACAUUGGAUUGCAGAUAAAGGCAGAUGUUCAGAGAGGAGCAAAAAUGACAGGUUGCCACUCUCCCAGAUUUUGAGGAUGAGCAGAAGCAGAAGACGUCUCUGGGUGUCCACCCACAGAGGAUCCACUGAUGGCGGCUCUGGCUCGGGCGUCCCCGCUGGACCCGGCUGAGCAGCGGAGGACACGGACGCCAGCUGGGAGCCCUCACACAACAUCUCACUUAAAAUGUCAUGUAUGCUACUUGGUUUAAAUUGUCACCCCUCCAGCAGCCACAAACAAUGCAGACACAGCAGAUGUGUUUUCUAUUUAGAAUUAAACAGUUUAUCUCAACCACUGUCAUUGUUAUAGAGAAAAAAUAAAUAAAUAUCCAUCUUAAUGUAAACUUCAAAAGGUACUUUCUGGCAACGGGAGAUAUUUUCAAAUCCAAAGUCCUCUGAGAAAACUAGGAUUUGACCACAAAUUUUUUUUUCAAAUCGGGAUGCUGGCAGCUCCAAGAGUAGUAAAACACAGCCUGGUCAAAAGAUUUCUGGCCAGAUAUUACAUACAAUAACUCAUGUCAUUGAUGCUUAAUGGUCCAAAACAUUAAGUAAACAUCAUAAAUGUCUUUUGUUAUUAAAUGUUCCAUUCAAACAUUUUGUUUAACUCUUGUGUAAUGGAUUGAAAAUAAGAAAGCUGCGGUAGAGAUUGGCCCUCAUGACCAUCUUUGAUUCACCUUCAAAGGUAUUUUUGUAAAUGUAUGCCAUCCUCAUAGUUACAGAAAGAAAAGAGCACGUCUGCUCCUCAGUGUAUGCAUUCUGUCUCUGGAAGUUAGACUACUUGGAAGCUUGACUUUUUUAGGUCAAGUUCAAACUACCACCCAUGUAUUCUGAAGACUAUAACUUUGUUCUCUCUAAAGUAGGGAAGUCAGUCUUCCCCUGUGUUAACUAAAAUAGAAAUAUGGGUGUUUUCUUAAUGUGAGGUCACAAAGACAGGGAAAAUGCUACUUUUUAAAGAUCAUUUUGCAAGAAAAACAAUUGCUAUAGUAAAAGGAAGACCACAAUUGGUUUGUAAAAAAAAAAAAAAGCCAUCAAGACAGUGAUUAUCUAAUGUAGUUUACCCCAUUUCACAAAUUUUGACAUAAAUGCAUAAUCUGAAGGCAGCGUUUAGUCAUUAGAACAUGACUCAUUUUAUCCUGGAUCUAACCUCAGCUUUUCUCUUGUUGUGUGUGUGUGUGUUUUUAAUCUGUAGCUAAAACAUCAGUAAAAAGCCCUAGUCAUGAUAUUUUACUUGUAUUUUUCCAUAGAGCUUCUUUUCUUCCAAUUUAAGUAAAGCCAGUUGCUCAGCUCCCCUUCUUGAAUUAUCUAUUCUUACAAGCCCCAAAUGCUGAGAGUUAUCUGGAUGUUUUCUGGUUCUCUUAGUGAGGAGAACAUCCAAACAACACAAACCAAAUGGCCAUCCAUUUCUAUCUAUCCUAUAAUUUGUAUGUAAAGACAAUCUGAACUCACAUCUGGCAUGUUGCAUUCCAUCUUAGUUGAUUCUAAAUGUGUUUUUCAUCAUAUGCAGCACAUUUUGGGGAGAAGGGUAGCAUCAUCGCUCUAAGUAAUAGAAUUCUCUAAAUGAAACUCCUGAAAGUUUGUCUUUUCACAGUAUGUCUAUGACUCAUUUGUUUAUUCAUUCAUUCAAACAAUGUUUCAUCUAACAAUUAGUUAUUAAGCACCUAGUAAGCUCUUGCCUGGAGAAUCCCAUGGACAGGGGAGCCUAAU
Long non-coding RNA from Odocoileus virginianus texanus, 2353 nucleotides. RefSeq lists it as uncharacterized. Lineage: Eukaryota; Metazoa; Chordata; Mammalia; Artiodactyla; Cervidae. The record is from RefSeq and is a predicted model, not a curated record.